Small nucleolar RNA from Ornithorhynchus anatinus (platypus), 138 nucleotides. NCBI's taxonomy places the organism in Eukaryota, Metazoa, Chordata, Mammalia, Monotremata, Ornithorhynchidae. The record is from RefSeq and is a predicted model, not a curated record.
ACCCUCUCAGGACUGCAGCUGGAGAGUUUCUAGUACUCUACCAGUCUCGGCCAAGGGAGAGAGAGUCAAAUAGAGGCGUAACCAUUCCAUUUCUAGCUUGGGCAAUGGCUAGCGAGUGGAAGGCAAUCUGCUACAAGA